This 133-nucleotide small nucleolar RNA is filed under the name Bos indicus x Bos taurus (hybrid cattle). RNAcentral describes it as "Small nucleolar RNA SNORA70 (ENSBIXG00005023868.1)". It matches the Rfam family "Small nucleolar RNA SNORA70". Rfam says of the family: snoRNA U70 seems to be exclusive to mammals and is a member of the H/ACA class of snoRNA which contain H (ANANNA) and ACA box motifs. H/ACA box snoRNAs are involved in the conversion of uridines to pseudouridines (5-ribosyluracil) a constituent of structural RNAs (transfer, ribosomal, small nuclear, and small nucleolar). The record is from RNAcentral. Lineage: Eukaryota; Metazoa; Chordata; Mammalia; Artiodactyla; Bovidae.
AUGAGCAAAGCAAGCCACCUGUGCUAUUUCCGCCCUGGGAGCCCAGGGUGCAAUGGCUGCAAAUAGGAGCCUUUUCGGUAGUGUAUACAGCCUGUUGCCUGCAUGAGUUGCCCUAAGGAACUUGAAUACGACC